GAGAGGCUUUCGUGCCAGUUUUACAAAUAAUUUUUCCUGGGGGUCCCCCCAGCCACGGCCUCUGGCCUUCCCUUCGCCCCAAGGCAGUCAGUCCCUGGUGCUCCUUGGGGAGCUCUCAGGCUCCACUCUGAAACCAAUGGGCUAAAUAAGUCUUGAGAGCCCCUUCAUGUUUAAAGCUCUGCGAGUCUAUGGUUUCUGCAUCUCAAUUCUGUGUGAGUGGAAAAAAGAGGCAGAAAUGGAAAGCUGAGAAGGAUUGGCUUACAGCAGUGGUCUCAAAAGUUUUGCUCUCAGAAUCCCUUUAUACUUCUUAUGAAGACCCCAAAGAGUUUUUGCCUUAGUCCUCCAUAUGAGUCUUUACGUUCUGUGCGAUCCUGGCCCAGUAAUUAGCUCCUCUGAACCUCAAUAUCCUUCUCUGUAAAAUUAGGACUGGAAUACCCCCUGGAGAACUAUGGAGAGAGUCAAAGAGAUAAUUAAGAUCAGAGCAAUUUUUCAACUCCAGAGGGCGUGUAUAUAUGAGUUGUUAUCACCAUAUUGUUUUUAUUAAGUAGGCAAUGUUGAUGCUGCCAUCUUUUUAUGUCAUAUCUUCCAAGUACCCAAGAGCAGCACACGAUGGCAGAAAGACUGAGUUCUGGAGUCUAUUCUGGAAAAGACUUGGAAUCCUGCUUCCUCACUGACUGGCUGUGUGGAGCCUUGGGCCAGUCACAUAACCUCUCUGAAUCAUCUCAGACCAUUAAGAAAGGAAAAAGCAUAAUAAAAUAGUUUUAUUAUAACAUAUAGUGUAUAUCUAGUAAAUGUUAUAAUUUAAACAUAGCUUUCCAGAGUUGCAGUGAGAAAUUGAGAGUGUCCGUACCGCGCUGGGACCCGCGUAGGUACUAAAAGCCAAACAAACAAAAUCAAUCUGUGCGUCUCUGCAACACACUGUUCACUCAGAUCCACCCUCCUGUGUGAUCCUUUGCCCAGAGUAUCUUCCUUCUUUUCAUCAAAACUUCACUGUAGAAACUGACUGACAAUUCCAUUUUAAGUUGGUACUUCAAAAAUAUGUUUUUGGCUCUACGAUGACUCUCGUGGCAUGGGGGCAGUCAGGACACCCAGAUGCUGAAGGUAGAAAUAUGUUAAAGAGAAGAUGUGAAUUUAGAAGGGCACGUGGGCGUGGCCAGUGUGGGAGGCUCUCAGAGAGGGCAUUGCCUUUCAGGAUGGGUUCCCCGACCUCACGUCCCCACCACAGCCUAGAACCUGGUCCUGCUCACGACGUCCAGACAUGGCCUGUGGUGCAGUCGCUGAUACCGGCUGCUGACUGGGACUCUGGCUCAGAAUCUGUCCCCACAAAACUAAUCAGGUCCGUGACUGUGAAUUUCCUGGCCCCUUUAGCUCUGAAUUUCCAGAAUGAGAGCUCCUCCCUGGUUGGCGCUGCUCUUCAGAAGGCCUGUUGUAAACAUCUCCGGAGAGGGAUGACAUUUAGCCCCAACAGCUCCGCGUAGGGGAGGGUAUUGUGCAACCAAACCGUCACAGAACCAUAAAAGAGGAGCUGCAGGGACCUUACACACCAACCAGCCCAGCUACCUC
RNAcentral lists this long non-coding RNA (1563 nucleotides) under Equus caballus (horse). Its description in RNAcentral is "lncRNA (ENSECAG00000052808.1)". The record is from RNAcentral. Lineage: Eukaryota; Metazoa; Chordata; Mammalia; Perissodactyla; Equidae.